AGAAAUUUCAUUACAGCUGCUGGACACUGCACAAGAUUAGAAUUGAAUUGAUCUCUUGUGCGUGUGACAGCGGCUAUUGUGAAUAUUUCCAAAACAUAAC
RNAcentral lists this microRNA precursor (100 nucleotides) under Trialeurodes vaporariorum (greenhouse whitefly). RNAcentral describes it as "microRNA mir-210". It matches the Rfam family "mir-210 microRNA precursor family". Lineage: Eukaryota; Metazoa; Arthropoda; Insecta; Hemiptera; Aleyrodidae. The record is from RNAcentral.